Molecule: long non-coding RNA, 1909 nt
Organism: Xiphophorus maculatus (southern platyfish)
Lineage: Eukaryota; Metazoa; Chordata; Actinopteri; Cyprinodontiformes; Poeciliidae
Exons: 7
Source: RefSeq, a predicted model, not a curated record
GCUGCGCGUCUCGACGCAGCGCGCAGCUCUGACGCGCAGGAAGGAACAGACAAAGCGGAAGAAGUCCCACUCGGCGCCGAGAUUUUAACCAAAGCAUUCCUGCCAGCAGACCGCCGUUUAUUUGUACUAAUGCUGAUCCGUUUAGAUCCUGUCAGUCUUCACCAUGUGGCCAUAAAAUUUGUCAUGUUGGUGAUCAGAGACGCAGCCAUUUAUCUCCAUCCAGAUUGAGGUGAUGGGUUGCAGCUUUUUUUUAAAGAACAUCCCUAAAUGCUGAUUCGUCAUGUUGGUGAUCAGAGACGCAGCCAUUUAUCUCCAUCCAGAUUGAGGUGAGUAAUCUUAUGUAACAAGUACUAAUUAAAUAUACCAGGCUAACUUUUAAAGCAUUGUAAUGAGGUCAGAAAUGUUGAGGUCUGCUUUGUAAAGUAGGAAAAGUUUAAAAAGUAAUUUAAUUCACAACUGGAACAGUGAUGAAUUCACCUUUUCGCCGUUUACCCAUCAGACUUUAGAGUGGUGAGAUGGUGACGACUGAAUUUCCAGCCUCAGUUUCACCUGUAGUCUUCCUUCGGUGUUUUAUUUGGAAAAAGACAAAUCAUUUUGUUUCUUAAUUUUUCAAAUAUUCUCUAAAUUCUGCAGGUGAUGGGUUGCAGCUUUUAUUUUAAAGAACAUCCCUAAAAGGUGGUAAGUCAACAUUGUAUGUAUUCAGCAGGCUUGUAUUUCAAGCUGUAAUGAUGAGUUCCACCUUUUUGCCGUUUACCCGUCAGACAAUAAAAUGGUGAUAAUGUGACAAACUGAAAUGCCAGGAUAAAAAGCCAUUUCUGGUGAGAGUGCAUUUUCAUUUACAAAGAAAGAUAAUUACUGUUUAAUUUUUCCCCAAUAAUUUAGAUUUGUCAUGUUGGUGAUCAGAGACGCAGCCAUUUAUCUCCAUCCAGAUUGAGGUGAUUGGUUGCAGCUUUUUAAGAUGCUGGUGUCUGCAACCAGUUGAGUGAGUGCACAUUUGUGAAAGAAUGGGUCGCUAUCGGGAGCUCAGUGAAUUCCAGCGUGGAGCUGUGAUAGGAUGUCACCGGUGCAACAAAUCCAGUCGUGAAAUUUCCUCGUUCCUAAAUGUUACACAGUCAACUGCCAGCCGUGUUGUAAGAAAAUGGAAGUGUUUGAGAAUGACAACUCUGCCACUUAGAGGUAGGCCACGUAAACUGACGGAGCGGGGUCAGCAGAUGCCGAUACACAUAGUGCGACGAGGUCACCAACUUUCUGCAGAGUCAAUCACUACAGACCUCCAAACUUAGUACCAGUGAAAGGAACUCUGAAUGCUUCAGCAUACCAAGACAUUUUGGACAAUUCCACACUCCCAACUUUGUGGGAACAGUUUGGAGCUGACCCCUUCCUCUUCCAACAUCACUGUGCAUCAGUGGAUGGCAGAGUCUGAACUUGACUGGCCUGCACAGAGUCCUCACCUUAACCCGAUAGAACACCUUUGGGAUGAAUUAGAGCAGAGACUGAGUGCCAGACCUUCUCGUCCAAAUGUGCUUCUGGAGUAAUGGUCAAAAAUUCCUAUAAACGCACUCAUAAACCUUCCCAGAAGAGGUGAGGCUGUUCUAGCUGCAAAGUGUGGACCGUCAUUGAAUCCUAUGGAUUAAGAGUGGGAUGUCACUUAAACUCAUGUGAGUCAAGACAGGUGAGCCAAUAGUUUUGGCAAUAUAGUGUAUUACAAUUCUGUAAGUUUAAUUUAAGGCUGCUGUUAAAUUGAUACUUGACUCAAAUCUGUUCAUGUUAUUUCUUAUUUUAUACUUUGUGUGAAAAUGCAUGCUUCUAUUUGCUUUUCACUUUGCUACUGCAGGACAAUAAAGUAUAUUUCUAUUUCUAAAAUGUUUUUUUUUUGUCUUUCAAGUCACAUUUCUGUUAUAAAUAAUAA